RNAcentral lists this ribosomal RNA (232 nucleotides) under uncultured bacterium. Its description in RNAcentral is "partial 16S ribosomal RNA". It matches the Rfam family "Bacterial small subunit ribosomal RNA", at positions 28 to 262 of the family's 1533-position model. The record is from RNAcentral.
GACGAACGCUGGCGGCGUGCUUAACACAUGCAAGUCGAGCGGUAAGGCCCUUUCGGGGGUACACGAGCGGCGAACGGGUGAGUAACACGUGGGUGACCUGCCCUUAGCUCUGGGAUAAGCCUGGGAAACUGGGUCUAAUACCGGAUAUGACUCCAUGACGCAUAUUGUGGGGUGGAAAGCCUUGUGCGGCUAGGGAUGGGCCCGCGGCCUAUCAGCUUGUUGGUGGGUGAUG